RNAcentral lists this ribosomal RNA (424 nucleotides) under uncultured Lactobacillus sp. RNAcentral describes it as "bacterial SSU rRNA". It matches the Rfam family "Bacterial small subunit ribosomal RNA", at positions 338 to 759 of the family's 1533-position model. Lineage: Bacteria; Bacillati; Bacillota; Bacilli; Lactobacillales; Lactobacillaceae. The record is from RNAcentral.
CCUACGGGGGGCAGCAGUGAGGAAUAUUGGUCAAUGGACGCGAGUCUGAACCAGCCAAGUAGCGUGAAGGAUGACUGCCCUAUGGGUUGUAAACUUCUUUUAUAUGGGAAUAAAGUUUUCCACGUGUGGAAUUUUGUAUGUACCAUAUGAAUAAGGAUCGGCUAACUCCGUGCCAGCAGCCGCGGUAAUACGGAGGAUCCGAGCGUUAUCCGGAUUUAUUGGGUUUAAAGGGAGCGUAGAUGGAUGUUUAAGUCAGUUGUGAAAGUUUGCGGCUCAACCGUAAAAUUGCAGUUGAUACUGGAUAUCUUGAGUGCAGUUGAGGCAGGCGGAAUUCGUGGUGUAGCGGUGAAAUGCUUAGAUAUCACGAAGAACUCCGAUUGCGAAGGCAGCCUGCUAAGCUGCAACUGACAUUGAGGCUCGAAAG